Molecule: non-coding RNA, 82 nt
Organism: Chelonoidis abingdonii (Abingdon island giant tortoise)
Lineage: Eukaryota; Metazoa; Chordata; Testudines; Testudinidae
Source: the annotation of a RefSeq genome assembly
GGCAGUGUGGCUGAGUAGUGUAAGGUGCUGGAUUGAGGCUCCAGUCUCUUUGGAGGCAUGGGUUCGAAUCCCACCACUGCCA